This 345-nucleotide RNase P RNA is filed under the name Haliea sp. RNAcentral describes it as "RNase P RNA component class A". It matches the Rfam family "Bacterial RNase P class A". Rfam says of the family: Ribonuclease P (RNase P) is a ubiquitous endoribonuclease, found in archaea, bacteria and eukarya as well as chloroplasts and mitochondria. Lineage: Bacteria; Pseudomonadati; Pseudomonadota; Gammaproteobacteria; Cellvibrionales; Halieaceae. The record is from RNAcentral.
CGAGUCGGUCAGGCGAUCGCUCCCGGUUCUGCCGGGGGAGGAAAGUCCGGGCUCCACAGGGCAGGGUGCCAGGUAACACCUGGGGGGCGUGAGCCUACGGAAAGUGCAACAGAAAGGAUACCGCCCGGCCUCGGCCGGGUAAGGGUGAAAAGGUGCGGUAAGAGCGCACCGCGUGGCUGGUAACAGGCACGGCGAUGGUAAACCCCACCCGGAGCAAGACCAAAUAGGAAUCCAUUGGCUGUGGCCCACAGCGGAUUCGGGUAGGUCGCUACAGGCCGGCGGUGACGCCGGUCGCAGAUGAAUGAUCGUCCACGACAGAACCCGGCUUACCGACCGACUCACUUA